This is a long non-coding RNA of Equus quagga, 664 nucleotides long. RefSeq lists it as uncharacterized. Lineage: Eukaryota; Metazoa; Chordata; Mammalia; Perissodactyla; Equidae. The record is from RefSeq and is a predicted model, not a curated record. The transcript has 3 exons.
AGAAUAUUCUCUGUGAGGCCCAGCAAACUGCAGCCUUAAACCUCCUGAAACAGGUCCUUGGAACAAUUUGCAAGAAUCCUGCAUGUGCAAGGAGGAGAAAGUGAUGAAUGUGUGAGAGUCCAUACUUCAAAUGCCAGGAAAUGGGAGGCCUUGCAUUUCAUCCCUCUUCUUAGCCACCAGCCAGCGACGCAGAGCCCCUGCAGCAGGAGGGCUCCCACACACUCAGCGCAAGUCCAGCAAAGCAUCUCUGGGCUUCAGUUCUACUGAGGGGUGUGCAUGUUUAACAAUGAGAGUUGGCCCAGAGGAAAGAAGUUGCCAAUACAUGCAAAUGUCCACUAGCUUAUGUCACCUCUGCCCCCCACAACGCCACAUAUGUGGCCACGCCUGCCUAUCAAAAUAAUGGGAUAAUUGGGCACAGUGUGUGCCGCCCCCACCCCUUACUGAAAGCAUGCCAGUCGGUCUCUGUGGGAACCCACAGGGAGCAGGGUGAGCAACACACCACUGUCUGCCUUCUCCGUGAUUGCAUCUGUGCCCUGCAAACCCCAACAGAAUUGAACUUACAUCUCCUCUUAAUUAGGGGAGAGAGGAAGACAAGAAUGAUAGCAGAAGAAUUUCUUCCUGCCUCUGACGGCAAGCUCUUCAGGGACAGAACAUUAAGCUCUCC